AUGGUGGAAAGGAGACUGUCUUUAAACUACAAGGAUAUUCCAAGGCCAAGAAGGGAGAGAGAAUGCUUCUCCACACGGGACAUGGAUAAAGCUGUUAUGCUUGGCAUGCUACCUCUAGGCUGCAAUGGGAAGAGGAUCCACUGGAGCCAGUACGCCUCCAAGAGAAAAACAAAGCAAAACAAUACAAGGAACCAGAGGUUCACUAGCAGAAAUGAUUUGAACAAGUUUACCGUUUCAUUUGUGAGGAUGUCUAAAGGCCCAACAAGUUAAUGCAGAAUUUCUGGCUUGAACUGCUGCCAAGGACCUGCUGACAUUUUGCUCUAAUGCUACUGGACCACUGGGACACCUCCAGAUAAUUGACAUAGCCCGGCGUCUAACGUAAUAUUAACAGUUAAAAAAGAGCAAGUAUCUUACAGAGACCAAGGGUAACAUUUUUGCACCUGAGAGGUGCUAGCUCUGUAGGCAAAUCAGUGUUUCUAAAUCUAACCCAAG
RNAcentral lists this long non-coding RNA (492 nucleotides) under Fukomys damarensis (Damara mole-rat). RNAcentral describes it as "lncRNA (ENSFDAG00000028624.1)". Lineage: Eukaryota; Metazoa; Chordata; Mammalia; Rodentia; Bathyergidae. The record is from RNAcentral.